CGUUUCCAACAGUUUGUGAAGGCAGCAGAAGAAGCUCCUCUACCGUGGGAGGGGCCCGACCUGGAGGAAAGAGGGAGCACCGGGGAUCGUGAGGUGUGUGGUUGAUGCCGCUCGCAUCUGUUGUCCUGGCGUUGCCAAACUCCCGGGAAGCUGCACUAAAAGCCAAGUGUCGAGAUGUUAAGCCUUUUACAGACUGACGCAAGAUCGUGUCUGCUCCUCUGAAUUAUACCUGUCAAAACCACAUCGCCCCGUGACUCAGACUCCGCUGUGACUGACAGCCCAGGCAAAGUUCAACCACCACGCUCCAGAUCUUCACCAAAAUACAGCUGCUGCUGCUGCUGCUGCUGCUGCUGCUGCUGCUGCUGCUGCUGCCGCCGCCUGCGCCAGAGAAGAAACACCUCAGUCACAGGACAUGACCUUGGAAAAAAUUUGGUCACACACACACACACACACACACACGUAUUUUUGUCAUUGUUGUUUACUGCUCGAUGGAAAAGUCAGUGUAUCACAGUGUAGGUCUCUAUGAUUAAACACUAUGUUAUCCAAGUAUAUUAAAAAAUGUGUCAUAAGUCUAUUGGCGAAGCAUUAAAAUAUAGGGAAAAAACAAAAAGAAAAGAGGGCUUUGUGUUUAGUUUGUGAUGUUUUUUAAUUCGACUCAACUCCUCUUUCCAUUUUUCAUAUUCAGGACAAAAGCACAACGUGUUCCAAGAGAAGUGCUGUUGCUAAAACUAGCGAGAGAACAAAAGAACUGCGCCUGCUGAUAUACCAUGUGUCAACCGCCCUGUUUGUGUGUGUGUGUGUGCGCGCGCGCA
Long non-coding RNA from Scophthalmus maximus (turbot), 812 nucleotides. RefSeq lists it as uncharacterized. Lineage: Eukaryota; Metazoa; Chordata; Actinopteri; Pleuronectiformes; Scophthalmidae. The record is from RefSeq and is a predicted model, not a curated record. The transcript has 3 exons.